GUGACGGCGUACCUUUUGUAUAAUGGGUCAGCGACUUACGUUCAGUAGCAAGCUUAACCGAAUAGGGCAGGCGUAGCGAAAGCGAGUCCGAAUAGGGCGUUCAGUUGCUGGGCGUAGACCCGAAACCAGAUGAUCUAUCCAUGGCCAGGUUGAAGGUGCGGUAACACGUACUGGAGGACCGAACCCACUAGUGUUGAAAAACUAGGGGAUGAGCUGUGGAUAGGGGUGAAAGGCUAAACAAAUCUGGAAAUAGCUGGUUCUCUCCGAAAACUAUUUAGGUAGUGCCUCGUGUCUCACCUUCGGGGGUAGAGCACUGUCAUGGUUGAGGGGUCCAUUGCGGAUUACCUCGCCAUAGCAAACUCCGAAUACCGAAGAGUGUAAUCACGGGAGACAGACAUCGGGUGCUAACGUCCGGUGUCAAGAGGGAAACAACCCAGACCGCCAGCUAAGGUCCCCAAAUAUGGCUAAGUGGGAAACGAAGUGGGAAGGCUAAAACAGUCAGGAGGUUGGCUUAGAAGCAGCCAUCCUUUAAAGAAAGCGUAAUAGCUCACUGAUCGAGUCGUCCUGCGCGGAAGAUGUAACGGGGCUAAGCCAUAUACCGAAGCUGCGGGUGCACAGUAAUGUGCGCGGUAGGAGAGCGUUCCGUAAGCCUGCGAAGGUGUCUUGUAAAGGAUGCUGGAGGUAUCGGAAGUGCGAAUGCUGACAUGAGUAGCGAUAAAGGGGGUGAAAGGCCCCCUCGCCGUAAGCCCAAGGUUUCCUACGCAACGUUCAUCGGCGUAGGGUGAGUCGGCCCCUAAGGCGAGGCAGAAAUGCGUAGCUGAUGGGAAGCAGGUCAAUAUUCCUGCACCGUCGUGAGAUGCGAUGGGGGGACGGAUCGCGGAAGGUUGUCCGGGUGUUGGACGUCCCGGUCGCUGCAUUGGAGAAGGCGCUUAGGCAAAUCCGGGCGCGGAAUUCAAGGGUGUGGCGCGAGCGGCUUUAGGCCGCGAAGCAAUCGGAAGGGGUCCCAAGAAAAGCCUCUAAGCUUCAGUCUCACGAUGACCGUACCGCAAACCGACACAGGUGGGCGAGAUGAGUAUUCUAAGGCGCUUGAGAGAACUCGGGAGAAGGAACUCGGCAAAUUGGUACCGUAACUUCGGGAUAAGGUACGCCCUGGUAGCUUGACCCCCCUGCGGGGGAAGGGUGAAGGGGUUGCAAUAAACUGGUGGCUGCGACUGUUUAAUAAAAACACAGCACUCUGCAAACACGAAAGUGGACGUAUAGGGUGUGACGCCUGCCCGGUGCCGGAAGAUUAAAUGAUGGGGUGCAAGCUCUUGAUUGAAGUCCCGGUAAACGGCGGCCGUAACUAUAACGGUCCUAAGGUAGCGAAAUUCCUUGUCGGGUAAGUUCCGACCUGCACGAAUGGCGUAACGAUGGCCACACUGUCUCCUCCCGAGACUCAGCGAAGUUGAAGUGUUUGUGAUGAUGCAAUCUCCCCGCGGCUAGACGGAAAGACCCCAUGAACCUUUACUGUAGCUUUGCAUUGGACUUUGAACCGAUCUGUGUAGGAUAGGUGGGAGGCUAUGAAACCGGAACGCUAGUUUCGGUGGAGCCGCCCUUGAAAUACCACCCUGGUUUGUUUGAGGUUCUAACCUUGGCCCGUGAUCCGGGUCGGGGACAGUGCAUGGUAGGCAGUUUGACUGGGGCGGUCUCCUCCCAAAGGGUAACGGAGGAGUACGAAGGUACGCUAGGUACGGUCGGAAAUCGUGCUGAUAGUGCAAUGGCAUAAGCGUGCUUAACUGCGAGACCGACAAGUCGAGCAGGUGCGAAAGCAGGUCAUAGUGAUCCGGUGGUUCUGUAUGGAAGGGCCAUCGCUCAACGGAUAAAAGGUACUCUGGGGAUAACAGGCUGAUACCGCCCAAGAGUUCAUAUCGACGGCGGUGUUUGGCACCUCGAUGUCGGCUCAUCUCAUCCUGGGGCUGUAGCCGGUCCCAAGGGUAUGGCUGUUCGCCAUUUAAAGAGGUACGUGAGCUGGGUUUAAAACGUCGUGAGACAGUUUGGUCCCUAUCUGCCGUGGGCGUUGGAAGUUUGAGGGGGGCUGCUCCUAGUACGAGAGGACCGGAGUGGACGAACCUCUGGUGUACCGGUUGUCACGCCAGUGGCAUCGCCGGGUAGCUAUGUUCGGAAGAGAUAACCGCUGAAAGCAUCUAAGCGGGAAACUCGCCUCAAGAUGAGACUUCCCCGGGGCUUCGAGCCCCUUGAAGGGUCGUUCAAGACCAGGACGUUGAUAGGUCGGGUGUGUACACGCAGUAAUGCGCUGAGCUAACCGAUACUAAUUGCCCGUAAGGCUUGAUCCUAUAACCGGAGCGUUUUG
This 2350-nucleotide ribosomal RNA is filed under the name Trinickia symbiotica. RNAcentral describes it as "bacterial LSU rRNA". It matches the Rfam family "Bacterial large subunit ribosomal RNA", at positions 593 to 2925 of the family's 2925-position model. The record is from RNAcentral. Lineage: Bacteria; Pseudomonadati; Pseudomonadota; Betaproteobacteria; Burkholderiales; Burkholderiaceae.